This 71-nucleotide transfer RNA is filed under the name Candidatus Roizmanbacteria bacterium. RNAcentral describes it as "tRNA-Trp". It matches the Rfam family "tRNA". From Rfam's summary of the family: Transfer RNA (tRNA) molecules are approximately 80 nucleotides in length. Their secondary structure includes four short double-helical elements and three loops (D, anti-codon, and T loops). The record is from RNAcentral. Lineage: Bacteria; Candidatus Roizmaniibacteriota.
GGGGUCGUGGUGAAAUGGUAUCACAUUGGUCUCCAAAACCAAUUUUUCAGGUUCAAGUCCUGACGACCCUG